UACAUGGGGUGCAAACGUUGCUCGGAAUUAUUGGGCGUAAAGCGCGCGUAGGCGGUUAUCUAAGUCGGAUGUGAAAGCCCUCGGCUUAACUGAGGAAGUGCACCCGAAACUGGAUAGCUAGAGUACGAAAGAGGGUCGCGGAAUUCCCGGUGUAGAGGUGAAAUUCGUAGAUAUCGGGAGGAACACCGGUGGCGAAGGCGGCGACCUGGGUCGAGACUGACGCUGAGGCGCGAAAGCAUGGGGAGCGAACAGG
Molecule: ribosomal RNA, 253 nt
Filed under: uncultured bacterium
Lineage: Bacteria
Description: partial 16S ribosomal RNA
Rfam family: Bacterial small subunit ribosomal RNA
Source: RNAcentral